RNAcentral lists this ribosomal RNA (253 nucleotides) under uncultured bacterium. RNAcentral's name for it is "partial 16S ribosomal RNA". It matches the Rfam family "Bacterial small subunit ribosomal RNA", at positions 524 to 776 of the family's 1533-position model. The record is from RNAcentral.
UACGUAGGGUGCAAGCGUUGUCCGGAAUUAUUGGGCGUAAAGAGCUCGUAGGCGGUUUGUCGCGUCUGCUGUGAAAACUCGGGGCUUAACCCCGGGCCUGCAGUGGGUACGGGCAGACUAGAGUGCGGUAGGGGAGACUGGAAUUCCUGGUGUAGCGGUGAAAUUCGUAGAUAUUGGGAAGAACACCGGUGGCGAAGGCGGCGACCUGGUCCGUGACUGACGCUGAGGCGCGAAAGCGUGGGGAGCAAACAGG